Molecule: ribosomal RNA, 492 nt
Filed under: uncultured bacterium
Lineage: Bacteria
Description: partial 16S ribosomal RNA
Rfam family: Bacterial small subunit ribosomal RNA
Source: RNAcentral
AGUGAACGCUGGCGGUAGGCCUAACACAUGCAAGUCGAACGGCAGCACAGUAAGAGCUUGCUCUUACGGGUGGCGAGUGGCGGACGGGUGAGGAAUACAUCGGAAUCUACUUUUUUGUGGGGGUUAACGUAGGGAAACUUACGCUAAUACCGCAUACCACCUACGGGUGAAAGCAGGGGAUCUUCGCACCUUGCGCGAUUGAAUGAGCCGCUGUCGGAGUGGUUAGUUGGCUGGGGAAAGGCCAACCAAGGCGACGAUCCGUCGCUGGUCUGAGAGAAUGAUCGGCCACAUUAGAACGGGGCCACGCACCAGACUCCUACGGGAGGGCGCAGUCGGGAAUAUUGGGCAAUAGGCGCAAACCUGAUCCAGUCAGACCGCGUGGGUGAAGAAGGCCUCGGGGUUGCAAAGCCCUUUUGUUGGGAGAGAAAAGCAGCAGGUUAAUACCCAGCGGUUCUGACGGUACCGAAAGAAUAAGCACCGGCUAACUACGUG